Molecule: microRNA precursor, 203 nt
Filed under: Oryza nivara
Lineage: Eukaryota; Viridiplantae; Streptophyta; Magnoliopsida; Poales; Poaceae
Description: MIR812 microRNA precursor family
Rfam family: MIR812 microRNA precursor family
Source: Rfam by way of RNAcentral
AAAAAGGCAAACCCUAGAUUUCCGUGUCCAACUUUGACUGUCCGUCUUAUAUAAAAAAAAUUAUAAUUCGUAUUUUUAUUGUUGUUAGAUGAUAAAACAUGAUUAAUAUUUUAUGCGUGACUUGUAUUUUUAAUUUUUUUUAUAAUUUUUUGAAAUAAGACGGACGGUCAAACGUUGGGCACGGAAACCAGGUUUCUCUUUUU